RNAcentral lists this ribosomal RNA (316 nucleotides) under Tetrias fischerii. RNAcentral's name for it is "partial 12S ribosomal RNA". The record is from RNAcentral. Lineage: Eukaryota; Metazoa; Arthropoda; Malacostraca; Decapoda; Pinnotheridae.
UAUUAUUCUAAUAAUAAAAUUAAUCUCUAGAUUAGUAGUAGUUAUUUACUUAAAAUUUAAAAAAUUUGGCGGUAAUUUAAUCUUCCCAGAGGAAUUUGUUUCUUAAUCGAUAAUCCGCGGAAUAUCUUGCUUGUUCUAUUAAUAGUUUGUAUACCAUCAUUAUCAGGUAAUUUUAAAAGAAAUAAUUACUAAAUAUAGUUAAUUAAAAAAAUUAGAUCAUGGUGCAGCUUAUGGAUAAGAUGAAAUGAAUUACAAUAAAUUAUUUUAAUACGGAUUAAUAGAUGAAUUUUUAUUAAGAAGGAGGAUUUGGUUGUAU